AGAGUUUGAUCAUGGCUCAGAACGAACGCUGGCGGCAUGCCUAACACAUGCAAGUCGAACGAGGGCCCCGCUUCGGUGGGACCCUAGUGGCGCACGGGUGAGUAACGCGUGAGACCUGCCCUGUGGUACGGAAUAACUCCGGGAAACUGGAGCUAAUACCGUAUGUGUCCUGUGGGACAAAGAUUUAUCGCCAUGGGAUGGGCCCGCGUAGGAUUAGCUUGUUGGUGGGGUAACGGCCUACCAAGGCAACGAUCCUUAGCUGGUCUGAGAGGAUGAUCAGCCACACUGGGACUGAGACACGGCCCAGACUCCUACGGGAGGCAGCAGUGGGGAAUAUUGGACAAUGGGCGCAAGCCUGAUCCAGCAAUGCCGCGUGAGUGAUGAAGGCCUUCGGGUUGUAAAGCUCUUUCGCACGCGACGAUGAUGACGGUAGCGUGAGAAGAAGCCCCGGCUAACUUCGUGCCAGCAGCCGCGGUAAUACGAAGGGGGCUAGCGUUGUUCGGAAUUACUGGGCGUAAAGGGCGCGUAGGCGGUACUUCAAGUCAGGCGUGAAAGCCCCGGGCUCAACCUGGGAACCGCGCUUGAGACUGGAGAACUAGAGUUCGGGAGAGGAUGGUGGAAUUCCCAGUGUAGAGGUGAAAUUCGUAGAUAUUGGGAAGAACACCGAUGGCGAAGGCAGCCAUCUGGACCGACACUGACGCUGAGGCGCGAAAGCGUGGGGAGCAAACAGGAUUAGAUACCCUAGUAGUCC
RNAcentral lists this ribosomal RNA (751 nucleotides) under uncultured bacterium. RNAcentral describes it as "bacterial SSU rRNA". It matches the Rfam family "Bacterial small subunit ribosomal RNA", at positions 8 to 796 of the family's 1533-position model. The record is from RNAcentral.